Molecule: transfer RNA, 66 nt
Filed under: Tachina fera
Lineage: Eukaryota; Metazoa; Arthropoda; Insecta; Diptera; Tachinidae
Description: tRNA-Gly
Source: RNAcentral
AUUUAUAUAAUAUAAAAAAGUAUAUUUGACUUCCAAUCAUAAAGUCUAUUAUAAAUAGUAUAAAUA